Non-coding RNA from Pelobates cultripes (western spadefoot toad), 753 nucleotides. The record is from the annotation of a GenBank genome assembly. Lineage: Eukaryota; Metazoa; Chordata; Amphibia; Anura; Pelobatidae.
GCUGAACACAAUACAAAGGCAGAAUAUGAAAUCCAGUUUAUUCGGAUACAUUUUAACAACUCAUUUCAUAUAACACAUCGUUUUUAUUUGGACACAGGAGUGUUCUUUUAACCUAUUAAAGACAAACCAUACCCCUGACCAUACCCACCAGAGAAAGAGAGCGAGAAUAGACAGUAUUACCUAGAAAUAGGAUCUAACCUCAUCUGCACAAAGGCCAAUUUUUUUCUCCUCCUUUAAUACUCAUACUUUUUUAUUAUAUAUAGUGUGGUUGGGUUGGCUGAAUGAGGCGAGUGUAUAUGGGUCUGCGUAAAUGGGAUGGCUGUGUAUAGUGAUUGAUGUAUGUGGGGAUUGUGACUGAGGGUUCCUCAUAAACACAUUUUGCAAACCAUUCUUCUAUUCUGGCACUCACUGAAUAAGUCACAAUAUUGCCAUGGCAACCAACUUGAAGCACUGAUUCAUUCACUGAACGCUGGGACUGCAUGGAAGCUUUAAAGUGGUAAAUAGCCGCCGGUGAUGCAGACUACUGUCAGUAUAUUUAUAUUGGCAGACAUUUUGUGCUAAAACAGAAAUUAAAAGUGUAUAUUGCCAGUCACACUUAGAACAAGGCUGACUCCAUUUUUGUAUUUUCAGGCAAGACAGACACAGAAUUUCUUUCUUUCUGUAACUCUAUUCAUUCAAGUCUGAGCUAAGAAAUGUGUUAUGUAAACAAGAUAAGGUAUGGUGUCUCACAAGGAUGGGGGAAGGAAUACUAAC